CCGGCCCCGGUUGGGGUGUCUCGCGCUGGGUGACAGCUCGCGCGUGCUGAUGAUGGCGGGCUUUGAAGCUGUGCUGCCUUUCUGUGAUGAUGACCUAAGUAGUAAUUAAAUUCCUGAAGAACUGCCAAGUCUCCUAUUGGCUGAAAUGGGGAUGUUCCAGGCUCUGGUCAUUGAGUUGCGAAAAAAAGACUGUUUAAACAUGACACAACAUACUCAAUUGUGCAUUAUGUCAGAAUGCACGUGUGAAAAAUCCUGGAAUGUAUUUUCUACCUGCAGUUUCGGUGAAAGGAGGUUAAAGC
RNAcentral lists this long non-coding RNA (299 nucleotides) under Pelusios castaneus (West African mud turtle). Its description in RNAcentral is "lncRNA (ENSPCEG00000006510.1)". Lineage: Eukaryota; Metazoa; Chordata; Testudines; Pelomedusidae. The record is from RNAcentral.